UACAGAGGUGGCAAGCGUUGUUCGGAAUUACUGGGCGUAAAGGGCGCGUAGGCGGUUCGUUAAGUCCUGUGUGAAAUCCCCCGGCUCAACUGGGGAACUGCACAGGAAACUAGCGGGCUUGAGUUCGGGAGAGGGAAGCGGAAUUCCGGGUGUAGCGGUGAAAUGCGUAGAUAUCUGGAGGAACACCGGUGGCGAAGGCGGGUCUCUGGGACGGUACUGACGCUGAGACGCGAAAGCGUGGGGAGCGAACAGG
This 253-nucleotide ribosomal RNA is filed under the name uncultured bacterium. RNAcentral's name for it is "partial 16S ribosomal RNA". It matches the Rfam family "Bacterial small subunit ribosomal RNA", at positions 524 to 776 of the family's 1533-position model. The record is from RNAcentral.